RNAcentral lists this long non-coding RNA (497 nucleotides) under Cyanistes caeruleus (blue tit). RNAcentral describes it as "lncRNA (ENSCCEG00000009848.1)". The record is from RNAcentral. Lineage: Eukaryota; Metazoa; Chordata; Aves; Passeriformes; Paridae.
CCAAGUGCUUGUGGAUAGUCAAUCUUUAAUGAGCCAGAGAGCAGAAAGGCUCCUCCUGAGAAGUGGAGGCUCGGGUUUGUGUUCCUUGUGCGCUACUUGCCAUAUUCACCCAUGUCACCUCCAUGUGAGACGUGGAACAUGUUGCAGGGGUUACAGAGCUAUCUUAAGCCUGGGAAAGAAUUACUCAUUCUCCAUCUCUGAAGUAGGGAAGCAGAGCAGCAAUAACCUCUGCAGAGGUUCUUCCUGACUCAACCAUUUUCAGUGGAGAUUUCUCAUGGAGAGGCUUUCUGCAUGAUCAUUAUUGAAUAGGAUGGAGCUGGGAAACAAACUUUCUGAACAGUGAAAACCAAAACAGCUUUGAAGAGACUAUUAUGGGGAUGGAAAUAUUUAUCUCCUCUCUUUGUGACUUCUGCAUUUCUACCUUGUCUACUUCUGACAUUGCUGACCUUUGAGCAUAGAUAGCAAAUGCUUUUAAUAAAAAUGAAUCAUCAUCUACA